AGAGUUUGAUCCUGGCUCAGAUUGAACGCUGGCGGCAGGCCUAACACAUGCAAGUCGAGCGAGAAAGCACUUCGGUGCGAGUACAGCGGCGGACGGGUGAGUAACGCGUAGGAAUCUACCUGGUAGUGGGGGACAACUUGUGGAAACGCAAGCUAAUACCGCAUACGCCCUAUGGGGGAAAGCGGGGGAUCUUCGGACCUCGCGCUAUUGGAUGAGCCUGCGUAAGAUUAGCUAGUUGGUGGGGUAAAAGCUCACCAAGGCGACGAUCUUUAGCUGGUCCGAGAGGACGAUCAGCCACACUGGAACUGAGACACGGUCCAGACUCCUACGGGAGGCAGCAGUGGGGAAUAUUGGACAAUGGGCGCAAGCCUGAUCCAGCCAUGCCGCGUGAGUGAAGAAGGCCUUAGGGUUGUAAAACUCUUUCGCUAGGGAAGAUAAUGACGGUACCUAGUAAAGAAGUCCCGCUAACU
This 470-nucleotide ribosomal RNA is filed under the name uncultured bacterium. Its description in RNAcentral is "bacterial SSU rRNA". It matches the Rfam family "Bacterial small subunit ribosomal RNA", at positions 8 to 502 of the family's 1533-position model. The record is from RNAcentral.